GUUGUAUGGUUAAGUGACUAAGCGUACAUGGUGGAUGCCUUGGCAGUCAGAGGCGAUGAAGGACGUACUAACCUGCGAUAAGCCGUGAGCAGUCGGUAAGAGACAUUACGACUCACGGAUUUCCGAAUGGGGAAACCCACUUAGCAUAAGCUAGGUAUCGCUACGUGAAUACAUAGCGUAGCGAGGCGAACCGGGAGAACUGAAACAUCUAAGUACCCCGAGGAAAAGAAAUCAACCGAGAUUCCCUCAGUAGCGGCGAGCGAACGGGGAUUAGCCCUUAAGCAUCUUGGAAGUUAGUGGAACGGUCCUGGAAAGGCCGGCGAUACAGGGUGAUAGCCCCGUACACGAAAACAACCUUGAUGUGAAAUCGAGUAGGGCGGGACACGUGACAUCCUGUCUGAAUAUGGGGGGACCAUCCUCCAAGGCUAAAUACUCCUGACUGACCGAUAGUGAACCAGUACCGUGAGGGAAAGGCGAAAAGAACCCCUGUGAGGGGAGUGAAAUAGAACCUGAAACCGUGUACGUACAAGCAGUGGGAGCCCUUCGGGGUGACUGCGUACCUUUUGUAUAAUGGGUCAGCGACUUACAUUUUGUAGCGAGGUUAACCGUAUAGGGGAGCCGUAGGGAAACCGAGUCUUAACUGGGCGUCUAGUUGCAAGGUGUAGACCCGAAACCGGGUGAUCUAGCCAUGGGCAGGUUGAAGGUUGAGUAACAUCAACUGGAGGACCGAACCCACUAACGUUGCAAAGUUAGGGGAUGACCUGUGGCUGGGGGUGAAAGGCCAAUCAAACUCGGAGAUAGCUGGUUCUCCCCGAAAGCUAUUUAGGUAGCGCCUCGGACGAAUACUACUGGGGGUAGAGCACUGUUUGGGCUAGGGGGUCAUCCCGACUUACCAACCCCAUGCAAACUCCGAAUACCAGUAAGUAAUAUCCGGGAGACACACGGCGGGUGCUAACGUCCGUCGUGAAGAGGGAAACAACCCAGACCGCCGGCUAAGGUCCCAAAGUUCUGGUUAAGUGGGAAACGAUGUGGGAAGGCUCAGACAGCUAGGAUGUUGGCUUAGAAGCAGCCAUCAUUUAAAGAAAGCGUAAUAGCUCACUAGUCGAGUCGGCCUGCGCGGAAGAUGUAACGGGGCUCAAACCAGGCACCGAAGCCGCGGAUUCACGCUAAGCGUGAGUGGUAGGGGAGCGUUCUGUAAGUCUGCGAAGGUGUGUCGAGAGGCAUGCUGGAGAUAUCAGAAGUGCGAAUGCUGACGUAAGUAACGAUAAAGGGGGUGAAAAGCCUCCUCGCCGGAAGACCAAGGGUUCCUGUCCAACGUUAAUCGGGGCAGGGUGAGUCGACCCCUAAGGCGAGGCCGAAAGGCGUAGUCGAUGGGAAGCAGGUUAAUAUUCCUGCACGACUUGUAAUUGCGAUGGGGGGACGGAGAAGGCUAGGUGGGCCAGGCGACGGUUGUCCUGGUGAAAGUGCGUAGGUGGUGUUUCUAGGCAAAUCCGGAGACACAACACUGAGACACGAGACGAACACACUACGGUGUGGAAGCCAUUGAUGCCCUGCUUCCAGGAAAAGCCUCUAAGCUUCAGAUUACAAGUCAUCGUACCCCAAACCGACACAGGUGGUCGGGUAGAGAAUACCAAGGCGCUUGAGAGAACUCGGGUGAAGGAACUAGGCAAAAUAGAACCGUAACUUCGGGAGAAGGUUCGCUCUUGACAGUGAAGUCCCUUGCGGAUGGAGCAGUUGGGAGUCGCAGUGACCAGAUGGCUGGGACUGUUUAUCAAAACACAGCACUCUGCAAACACGAAAGUGGACGUAUAGGGUGUGACACCUGCCCGGUGCCGGAAGGUUAAUUGAUGGGGUUAGCGCAAGCGAAGCUCUUGAUCGAAGCCCCGGUAAACGGCGGCCGUAACUAUAACGGUCCUAAGGUAGCGAAAUUCCUUGUCGGGUAAGUUCCGACCUGCACGAAUGGUGUAACCAUGGCCAUGCUGUCUCCACCCGAGACUCAGUGAAAUCGAAUUCGCCGUGAAGAUGCGGUGUACCCGCGGCUAGACGGAAAGACCCCGUGAACCUUUACUACAGCUUGGCACUGAACAUUGAACCUACAUGUGUAGGAUAGGUGGGAGGCUUUGAAGGCGUGACGCCAGUUGCGCUGGAGCCGUCCUUGAAAUACCACCCUUGUAUGUUUGAUGUUCUAACGCAGGCCCAUGAAUCUGGGUCGCGGACAGUGCCUGGUGGGUAGUUUGACUGGGGCGGUCUCCUCCCAAAGAGUAACGGAGGAGCACGAAGGUUGGCUAAUCCUGGUCGGACAUCAGGAGGUUAGUGCAAUGGCAUAAGCCAGCUUAACUGCGAGACGGACAGGUCGAGCAGGUACGAAAGUAGGUCAUAGUGAUCCGGUGGUUCUGAAUGGAAGGGCCAUCGCUCAACGGAUAAAAGGUACUCCGGGGAUAACAGGCUGAUACCGCCCAAGAGUUCAUAUCGACGGCGGUGUUUGGCACCUCGAUGUCGGCUCAUCACAUCCUGGGGCUGAAGUCGGUCCCAAGGGUAUGGCUGUUCGCCAUUUAAAGUGGUACGCGAGCUGGGUUCAGAACGUCGUGAGACAGUUCGGUCCCUAUCUGCCGUGGGCGUUGGAUGAUUGAAGGGAGUUGCUCCUAGUACGAGAGGACCGGAGUGAACGAACCUCUGGUGUUCGGGUUGUCACGCCAGUGGCACUGCCCGGUAGCUAAGUUCGGAAUCGAUAACCGCUGAAAGCAUCUAAGCGGGAAGCGAGCCCUGAGAUGAGUCAUCCCUGACCCCUUGAGGGUCCUAAAGGGCCGUUGGAGACCACAACGUUGAUAGGUGGGGUGUGUAAGCGCGGCGACGUGUUGAGCUAACCCAUACUAAUUACCCGUGAGGCUUAACCAUACAACACCCAAGAAGUGUUCU
Molecule: ribosomal RNA, 2916 nt
Filed under: Aeromonas hydrophila
Lineage: Bacteria; Pseudomonadati; Pseudomonadota; Gammaproteobacteria; Aeromonadales; Aeromonadaceae
Description: 23S ribosomal RNA
Rfam family: Bacterial large subunit ribosomal RNA
Source: RNAcentral